Long non-coding RNA from Oncorhynchus gorbuscha (pink salmon), 1429 nucleotides. RefSeq lists it as uncharacterized. Lineage: Eukaryota; Metazoa; Chordata; Actinopteri; Salmoniformes; Salmonidae. The transcript is spliced from 3 exons. The record is from RefSeq and is a predicted model, not a curated record.
CCCACCCUCUGUAAUAGAGGCCACUGCCGAAGAAGGGAUCAGAGCACUGGAGGAGAAUGAGGAAGACCUUUUUGUGAUUGACUCAAUGGUUCCUUUAAGAAGCAACAUACGUGCAAAACAGUCCCACUCCUCCUCCUUGUCAUCUGCCAUUGUUACAGAACAGUUUCAAACAGACAGGGAACAAACUCAAUCCAUUCCUGACAUGCAAACAACCGAGUCGUUGGCAGCAUCAUCCCCUGACAUGAACAAAACAAUCGAUCAACACGUAAAAAAAUGACAAGGGUAAGCUCUGGCAUGCGCUCCCUGUCCGCUAUGGUGUGUUAGGCACCAUAACACAUCAGAACCUGAAUGGAGGCCCCUGUGUGCUGGGCCUGGGCCCCUGGGUGGAGCUCAUGCCAAACAACUGCGUUGGGCAGCAUCACUUGAAAGCAGCUCCAUAUGCCAUGAUGACCCCCUCCACCACCACAGACAGUCUGAGAAACCAUGUCAUCAUAAGGGUGGAGGAGGACCCACUGCCAGCAGCAUCUCUCCCCUACUGUGGCAGUGAGCAUCCUCUCCUUCAUAGAGUUCGACAUGUGUCCUCUGUCACAAUCAACCUCCGCAUCGACAACGUGCUCCACCGUGACCAUGGACACCUGCUAGGGGUGGGCAGCCACUUCACAGCCCCACCCCCUUCUUCCUGGACACACCAAGCUGGAGCUGACCUCUCACUGCAGGACAGUGAGAUCACAACCAUCUCUCACACCUCUGGUGGCUAUGGCUGGAUGCUGCAACUCCUGACAAUUUCAGAGCCAAGGAGCAACCACAGCCAAAGCCAGAGGCUCAUUCAGUCAUUGCAGGCGUCUGAUCAGAUCCUUCAGCCAUCUUCAACCCCUGAGCACCAAGAGGAGGAAGUUCCAAUGAUGUACACAUGUCUAUGGUUCCAGACAAGGUGAAUGACCCAGGGGUCACUCAGGAGGGUCCAGAAUGGGCAGCAGUGACUUUUCUUUAUUUUUUAUUUAACUAGGCAAGUCUUUUAAGAACAAAUUCGUAUUUACAAUGAUGGCCUACCAAGGAGAAGUGGGUUAACUGCCUUGUUCAGGGGCAGCCUUUCAGUUACUAGCCCAACACUCUAACCACUAGGCUAUCUGACGCCCCCUGGACGUUACAGACCUAUAAGCUGACAUCUUCACCUCAUCACCUCAGCCAAUGCCCAUGUCACUUCACAUCAGUACUUCCAAUCCACACUGUUGACAAGGGAACUGCUCCACACAAGUUCUCCACUUGUUUGCUUUGAAUAAAGUCAUAAUAUGCUAUAUUAGAAUCAACAUGGGACAACUAGUGUAGUAGAUGAUUGGCGAUUGGCUAGGUUAUUUGAAAGAUACAAAAAUAUUCUGUUUUCUUUUUUAGAUAUUUUUGUUAUAUACACUGACUUUACUUCAACAAUUCU